RNAcentral lists this ribosomal RNA (253 nucleotides) under uncultured bacterium. Its description in RNAcentral is "partial 16S ribosomal RNA". It matches the Rfam family "Bacterial small subunit ribosomal RNA", at positions 524 to 776 of the family's 1533-position model. The record is from RNAcentral.
UACGGGGGGAGCAAGCGUUGUUCGGAUUUACUGGGCGUAAAGCGUGCGCAGGCGGUUGUGCAAGACAGAUGUGAAAUCCCCGGGCUUAACCUGGGAAUUGCAUUUGUGACUGUACGGCUAGAGUGUGUCAGAGGGGGGUAGAAUUCCACGUGUAGCAGUGAAAUGCGUAGAGAUGUGGAGGAAUACCGAUGGCGAAGGCAGCCCCCUGGGAUAACACUGACGCUCAUGCACGAAAGCGUGGGGAGCAAACAGG